GGAUUAGUUUCUUGUUCUAUGAAUUAUGAAUAAUGAUUCGUAGUUCGAUUAAUUCAAUCCCGGGGCGUUCUACAUAAUUGCAUACUAAUUUGUGUUUGGUUAAUUCCAUACAUUGUGGAAUGCAAUUGGAGCGUACCCUGAGCAUAUAUGCUGUGACCCGAAAGAUGGUGAACUAUGCUUGAUCAGGUUGAAGUCAGGGGAAACCCUGAUGGAGGACCGAAACAGUUCUGACGUGCAAAUCGAUUGUCAGAAUUGAGUAUAGGGGCGAAAGACCAAUCGAACCAUCUAGUAGCUGGUUCCCUCCGAAGUUUCCCUCAGGAUAGCUGGUGCAUAAUGAAUUUGAUAUAAAAUAAUCUUAUCUGGUAAAGCGAAUGAUUAGAGGCCUUAGGGUCGAAACGACUUUAACCUAUUCUCAAACUUUAAAUGGGUAAGAACCUCACCUUACUUGUUAUGAAGGUUGAUCCACUUCAAGCAAUUGUUGUGGAGAAGAUGGUUAUGAUAUAUGUGCCCAGUGGGCCACUUUUGGUAAGCAGAACUGGCGCUGUGGGAUGAACCAAACGUAAUGUUACGGUGCCUAAAUUAACAACUCAUACAGAUACCAUGAAAGGCGUUGGUUGCUUAAAACAGCAGGACGGUGGACAUGGAAGUCGUAAUCCGCUAAGGAGUGUGUAACAACUCACCUGCCGAAGCAACUAGCCCUUAAAAUGGAUGGCGCUUAAGUUGUGUACCUAUACAUUACCGCUAAAGUAAAUGAUCUACAUUAAAUUCAUAUAAUGUGAAUUGAUGUCGAUUUUGAAACUUUAGUGAGUAGGAGGGUACGAUGGUGUGCUUAGAAGUGUUUGGCGUAAGCCUGCAUGGAGCCGCCAUUGGUACAGAUCUUGGUGGUAGUAGCAAAUAAUCGAAUGAGACCUUGGAGGACUGAAGUGGAGAAGGGUUUCGUGUGAACAGUGGUUGAUCACGAGUUAGUCGGUCCUAAGUUCAAGGUGAAAGCCGAACAUUAUAUAUAUAAAUGUGUAUAUAUAUGUAUUUGAACGAAAGGGAAUACGGUUCCAAUUCCGUAACCUGUUGAGUAUCCGUGUUUGUUUAUUAAAUGUGGGCCUUGUGCUCAUCCUGGUAACAGGAGCGACCAUAAAGAAGCCGUCGAGAGAUAUCGGAAGAGUUUUCUUUUCUGUUUCAUAGUCGUAUUACCAUGGAAGUCUUUCGCAGAGAGAUAUGGUAAAUGGACUAGAAGAGCAUGACAUUUACUGUUGUGUCGAUAUUUUCUCCUCGGACCUUGAAAAUUUAUGGUGGGGUCACGUGUAAACUUCUCAACAGGCCGUACCAAUAUCCGCAGCUGGUCUCCAAGGUGAAGAGUCUC
This 1357-nucleotide ribosomal RNA is filed under the name Penicillidia fulvida. Its description in RNAcentral is "eukaryotic LSU rRNA". It matches the Rfam family "Eukaryotic large subunit ribosomal RNA", at positions 701 to 1883 of the family's 3401-position model. Lineage: Eukaryota; Metazoa; Arthropoda; Insecta; Diptera; Nycteribiidae. The record is from RNAcentral.